CCUACGGGUGGCAGCAGUGAGGAAUAUUGGUCAAUGGGCGGGAGCCUGAACCAGCCAAGUCGCGUGAGUGAAGAAGUAUUUCGGUACGUAAAGCUCUAUCAGCAGGAAAGAAAAUGACGGUACCUGACUAAGAAGCCCCGGCUAACUACGUGCCAGCAGCCGCGGUAAUACGUCGGGGGCAAGCGUUAUCCGGAUUUACUGGGUGUAAAGGGAGCGUAGACGGCAGCGCAAGUCUGGAGUGAAAUGCCGGGGCCCAACCCCGGAACUGCUCUGGAAACUGUGAAGCUGGAGUGCAGGAGAGGUAAGCGGAAUGCCUGGUGUAGCGGUGAAAUGCGUAGAUAUCAGGAGGAACACCGGCGGCGAAGGCGGCUUACUGGACUGUAACUGACGUUGAGGCUCGAAGGCGUGGGGAGCAAACAGGAUUAGAUACCCGAGUAGUC
RNAcentral lists this ribosomal RNA (440 nucleotides) under uncultured bacterium. RNAcentral's name for it is "partial 16S ribosomal RNA". It matches the Rfam family "Bacterial small subunit ribosomal RNA", at positions 338 to 795 of the family's 1533-position model. The record is from RNAcentral.